UACAGAGGUCCCAAGCGUUGUUCGGAUUCACUGGGCGUAAAGGGCGCGUAGGCGGCCUGGCAAGUGGAAGGUGAAAUCCCUCGGCUUAACCGAGGAACUGCCCUCCAAACUGCUUGGCUUGAGUCCGGGAGAGGUGAGUGGAAUUCCCAGUGUAGCGGUGAAAUGCGUAGAUAUUGGGAGGAACACCAGUGGCGAAGGCGGCUCACUGGACCGGAACUGACGCUGAGGCGCGAAAGCGUGGGGAGCGAUCCGG
RNAcentral lists this ribosomal RNA (253 nucleotides) under uncultured bacterium. RNAcentral describes it as "partial 16S ribosomal RNA". It matches the Rfam family "Bacterial small subunit ribosomal RNA", at positions 524 to 776 of the family's 1533-position model. The record is from RNAcentral.